CUGUAAAAUAUCAAUAAAAUAUAUUUUUUAAAAAAAUAAAAAAAAGCCUGGUUUUUCUCAAUACACCUUUAAAGGUUUUUAAAUUGUUUCAUAUCUGGUCAAGUUGAGAUUUUUAAGAACCUCAUUUUUAAUUUGUAAUAAAAGUUUACAGCUUGAUUUUUU
Long non-coding RNA from Pipistrellus kuhlii (Kuhl's pipistrelle), 162 nucleotides. RefSeq lists it as uncharacterized. The record is from RefSeq and is a predicted model, not a curated record. The transcript has 2 exons. Lineage: Eukaryota; Metazoa; Chordata; Mammalia; Chiroptera; Vespertilionidae.